UAGAACUUAUUUGAUUUGGCCAUAACUCAAUUUUCAUAACUUAAUAUUCAUAACUCAAACUCAAAACCUAUAACUUAUAAUCCAAUCCUCACUUUCUCGCAAAAACUUCAAAAUGCUUGUUUAGUUACAUAACUCAGCCACAUAAUUCAUACUUUUUGCCAAAAGCGUGAAACCCACCCACUGACACCACACAGUGGGCUUAUGGUUGCUACCCUCGUGGAUUUUCUUUUACCUCUCACCGAAAUUUUCUCCCAUCAGAGCACGCCUGUCUUCCCCGAAAAGACCCAAACCCCACAAGCCAAAAGCAUAGCAAUCACCUCCCAAUCCAACGUCGGUGAAGAUCGAGAACAGAUCGUCGCCUGGGACUGGUGAAGAUUACUCUGGAGUUCGCUACAAUUAUCGUUGCACUUGCUGAACCACCGUUUAACGUAAUUUUCUCAUGACCCUUUGGCUCCGUCUCUCUUGCCCUGUUUGGGGAAGUUUUAGGAUCAACCUAAGGAAUGGUUUGGGCCUACUUCGCCUCUGAAAAAACAACGAGAUUUUGGGUCUGUAAUGUUUAACCCCAUAUCCCACAACAAUAUUUAUGUAAUCAAUGGGUUUCGUUGAGCUUGGGUUUAAUAUUAUAUAUGCUAUUUGGGUUAGAUAAAUUCAAACUUUUAAGUAUACAUUAGAUGUUUGGAAAAACGUUUGAAUUUUUCCAUCUAUAGAAUUGAAUCAACAUACUACUUGACACAGUUUGGAUAUAGAUGAAUUUUCAAUGGUAUAAGCAGAGCAGUUUGUAAUUUCUACGUACAGUUUGAUGCGUGUUAUAGUUUAGUCAUUCAUUUGAAAUUGGAAAACUUUAGAGUACUUGGUAUAAAUUGGUUCUCAGGACCCAGGUAGGAAACUAUGGAUUGACAUACUAUUAACCAUGUUGUUAUCUAACUGAAGUCUGACUGAUUCUAUAAAUUUCUUUAAACUGUAUUUUUUUGAGUGAGUUCUUGGAUAGUGGAGCCAGAUUGGUAAUGUAGGCUGCUGGGAAUGGAUUCUUUUGCCAGUUGCAUCAAUCUCUACUAUCAUGAUACUAUUUUGAUUGUCAAGUUGUGUUUAUGAAAUGUAUAGAACUUGCUCAAGACUAGUUUGACUGAGUUCUCUGUGACUGGUUAUGGAUAUUUGAUUGUUGUGUUCA
RNA transcript from Quercus lobata, 1168 nucleotides. RefSeq lists it as uncharacterized. The record is from RefSeq and is a predicted model, not a curated record. NCBI's taxonomy places the organism in Eukaryota, Viridiplantae, Streptophyta, Magnoliopsida, Fagales, Fagaceae. The transcript has 2 exons.